Molecule: long non-coding RNA, 795 nt
Filed under: Zonotrichia albicollis (white-throated sparrow)
Lineage: Eukaryota; Metazoa; Chordata; Aves; Passeriformes; Passerellidae
Description: lncRNA (ENSZALG00000008901.1)
Source: RNAcentral
GCCGGGUCUGCGCUCUGGGACGCCAUGAGGGAAUAGUCCCUCUGUCCCCACGCCACGAGGGGAUCGUCUCGUCAUCCCCACGCCAUGAAGUGAUCAUUCCUCCAUCCUCAAGCCAUGAGAGAAUCAUCUCGUCAGCCCCGGGCCAUGAGAGGAUCGUCCCUCUAUCCCCUUGCUAUAAGGGAAUUAUCCCCAUGCCACGAGGGGAUAUCAUCCAUGAGGGCCUUGUCCCGACAUACCCACAGCCUGGUCCUCCUGCCCUCUGUGUCCCUGGCACCCUCAGACCCUUCAUUAUGACCAGAGCCAUCAAAAGAAUGGGGUAAAUCCCUUAAAAGUCCUCUCAACACUCUACACAGAAAAAAUAUGGGACUCUGAGGGCAAGUCAGAAUGCCCACCUCAGGUGGCGCUUGCCCAUGCCAGCCAUUCCCUCACCAUUCCUCAAACCAGGCCUGUGGGACAGAGCUGCAACUGACAAAGGACUCAGAAUCAGCUCUUGGCACGAAGCAAAGCACAAAUCUGAACUUAGAUGUGUCUGGGACAGAACAACACUUUUCUUUGUUUCGUAAAGCCAGAAUUACAAGCCUGGAAAAUGAAGAUCACUGGUGCAUGAUGCUUCACUUGGUCUUAGGCUGUUAGACUGCACAAAAUGCCUCCCAGGUUAAGGAAUUCAGAUCUGGAUUGCUGGGCAGCCCGACUGCUUUCAUGACCAAGAAAAAGAAAGAGAGAUGUAAAAAGCCAUCCAUAAAAAGCCAGCCAUGAAAACCCAAACGUAAGCAUGGUUUCCUUUUAUUUUCCUGA